GUUCGGGGCGCGCCCGCCGCUAUUCAGCUUCCCGGGCUCGGCAGCAUCUUGGUGCGCGGCUCACAAAGAGCUGCUGCGGCGGCUCCGUGCUUGGCCUCGCGGAUUGAGCGGCGGCGGCAGCGGCAGCGGUGCACCCGUGCGGCCCCGCGCACAAGCCAGAAAGAUUUCAUCACCAGGAGCAUUUUCCGGACCUUACCAAACCACUCACUUUUGGACUUCCAGAACUAUGUUGAAGAGUAGUGGUGAGAGCAGACAUCCUUGUCUUCUUGUUCCUGAUCCCAGCGGGAAUUCUUUCAGCUUUUCACCAUUGAGAAUGAUGUUCGCUGUGGGUUUGUCGUAUAUGGCCUUUAUGAUGUGGCUGCCUCCUGGUGAUGAUGGCUGCGUGAUCACCCACCAUGGCCCACCGGAAGCGUCAGAGCACAGCGAGCAGCAUGCUAGACCACAGGGUGAGGCCGAGCCCCGAGCCGGAGGCUGAGGGUGUGGAGCUGCCCCCAGAGGAGUACACGCCCCAGGGCUUGGAGCUGGCAACCCUGCGGCCCGAGAGCCCGGUGCCCACAGAGCCGGGCUGCCCCGACCACAGCCCCGAUGGGGACUCCAGCUCCGACUAUGUGAACAACACCUCGGAGGAGGAGGACUACGAUGAGGGCCUCCCCGAGGAGGAGGAGGGCAUCACCUACUACAUCCGCUACUGCCCCGAGGACGACAGCUACCUGGAGGGCAUGGACUGCAACGGUGAGGGCUGCCUGGCGCACAGUGCGUCUGGCCUGGAGACUGAUGAGUGCCAGGAGGCGGUGGAGGAGUGGACGGACCCGGCGGGCCCACACCCGCCCGACUGUGAGGACGAGGGCAGCCCGGACUACCGGGGCAGCCACCUCCCCAUCCCAGAGGACGAGCCCUCUGGCCUGGAGGCCCAGGACCAGGAAGAGGGUGUCCACUACUGCCCCAGCGAGGAGGGCUACCCGGACUACUACCCCACUGAGGCCAAUGGGAACGCAGGCAGCGCAUCCCCCUACCGCCCUAGGCGUGGGGACGGGGACCUGGAGGACCAGGAGGAGGACAUCGACCAGAUCGUGGCUGAGAUCAAAAUGAGCUUGAGUAUGACAAGCAUCACCAGCGCCGGUGAGGCCAGCCCAGAGCACACGCUGGUGCGGGCACCGGAGCCAGGGCCUGGGGACUCGGCGGAGGCCUGCCCUCCCGGCGAGGCCAGCCUCGGCCCCAGCAGACACGAGGGGCGGCCCAAGUCUCUGAACCUCCCUCCUGAGGCCAAGCACCCUGGAGAUCCCCAGAGAAGCUUCAAGACCAAGACCAGGACUCCAGAGGAGAGACCAAAGUGGCCCCAAGAGCAGGUUUGCAAUGGUUUGGAGCAGCCGAGGAAACAGCAGCGCUCUGAUCUCAACGGACCUGUUGACAAUAACAACAUCCCAGAGACAAAGAAGGUGGCAUCAUUUCCAAGUUUUGUGGCUGUUCCAGGGCCCUGUGAGCCAGAAGACCUCAUUGAUGGGAUCAUCUUUGCUGCCAACUACCUGGGGUCGACACAGCUGCUUUCGGAGCGGAACCCUUCCAAAAACAUCAGGAUGAUGCAGGCGCAGGAGGCUGUCAGCCGGGUCAAGAGGAUGCAAAAGGCUGCUAAAAUCAAGAAGAAAGCGAAUUCUGAGGGGGAUGCCCAGACUCUGACCGAAGUGGACCUCUUCAUCUCCACCCAGAGGAUCAAGGUGUUAAAUGCGGACACACAGGAGACCAUGAUGGACCACGCCCUGCGCACCAUCUCCUACAUCGCAGACAUCGGAAACAUCGUGGUGCUGAUGGCCAGGCGCCGCAUGCCGAGGUCGGCCUCUCAGGACUGUAUCGAGACCACCCCUGGGGCCCAGGAGGGGAGGAAGCAGUACAAGAUGAUCUGCCACGUGUUCGAGUCCGAGGACGCUCAGCUGAUCGCCCAGUCCAUCGGCCAGGCCUUCAGCGUGGCCUACCAGGAAUUCCUGCGGGCCAACGGCAUCAACCCUGAGGACCUGAGCCAGAAGGAGUACAGUGACAUCAUCAACACCCAGGAAAUGUACAACGACGACCUCAUCCACUUCUCCAACUCAGAGAACUGCAAGGAGCUGCAGCUGGAGAAGCACAAGGGAGAGAUCCUGGGCGUGGUGGUGGUGGAGUCGGGCUGGGGCUCCAUCUUGCCCACAGUGAUCCUGGCCAACAUGAUGAAUGGCGGCCCGGCUGCCCGCUCGGGGAAGCUGAGCAUCGGCGACCAGAUCAUGUCCAUUAAUGGCACCAGCCUGGUAGGGCUGCCCCUCGCCACCUGCCAGGGCAUCAUCAAGGGUCUGAAGAACCAGACACAGGUGAAGCUCAACAUCGUCAGCUGUCCUCCGGUCACCACCGUCCUCAUCAAGCGGCCAGACCUCAAGUACCAGCUGGGCUUCAGCGUGCAGAAUGGAAUCAUCUGCAGCCUCAUGCGCGGGGGCAUCGCAGAGCGGGGUGGCGUCCGAGUUGGCCACCGCAUCAUUGAGAUCAACGGGCAAAGCGUGGUGGCCACCGCCCACGAGAAGAUUGUCCAGGCAUUGUCCAACUCGGUUGGAGAGAUCCACAUGAAGACCAUGCCUGCCGCCAUGUUCAGGCUCCUCACAGGCCAGGAGACCCCGCUCUACAUCUAGGCCACCCACCGCACCCCAAGGAGCGGGAGCCAGACCCGGGACCUGACCCCUGACCCCACCGCCCACCUAAGGACACUGGCUCCCCUGAAGGGCACGCCCUCACCACCCACUUUUUUUUUUGGACUCAAAGGGGUAUGUCUUCAUCCAAGGAGGGUCACAAGAACCAAUCUUUGUAGAACAGUCAAGUAUUUUGCCGCAUUCUGACUUUUCUCAUUGCAACGGACAAGGGUUUCUUUGUACCCCUGUGUGGUGUGGAGCCGUGGAGGGUGAAUGUGGGUGCCUCUGGAUGCGGCCGUGCAGGGAGCCCCUCGAGGACGGUGAGCUCCUGGGGGGCAGCAGCGAUGGCCCCACCCUUGGCUGGGGCUCCGGGGUCCUGCAGGGAGGGCAUCCCGACAGCCCGGAUGGCUGCCUCCCAGGGUAGCCGGCUCUCAGGAUGUGACUGGUCAUUGAAGUUGGGGACCACGUGAUGUAUUUCCCGAGAAAGGAGACAUCCUUCAGUUCAAUAAAGGAUGAUGGCCACAACCUCAAAACUCCAUAUUUAUUUAGACAGUAUCACCGUUUUGACUUUUAUUUGACAGCAAGCUGUUCUUCAGACAUUAGGAUUUUCCAAUGACCCUGUGACCACACCUGCUGCCCUGUGCUCGCCUGUCCACUGGUCCCUGGAUGCCCUGGGGCACCCUCCCCUACAGGUGGCCCUCUGGUUACUAUCUGUCUACAUAUACGCAUCCACAUGCGUGCUCCCCCCUCAGAAACCAGCCCCACACCGGAACCCUGGACGCCUGCCGUUCCUGGGGUGACUGCGGCAUCCGGGCACCGUCUCUGUGAGCAGUGUUCCAGUGUGUGUAGAUCAAGUGCAACGUAGUCUAGUUCCGCUCAGCAAGCUCAGUGUUCACCGACGUCAUUUUGUCUGGAAGUCUCUUUCUCUGGCCCAGGCCUCGAAGAAUACACUGUGACUUAAGAAGCCUUACCAUGCAGUAACUAAGCUUUAGGAUCACUGGACCUGAGGGUGACCUGUGUGUUGCAUGCAGCCGACCUUAGGAAGACUCGCUAAUACCACUAAUAAACCUGAGGUCAUGACG
This 3724-nucleotide long non-coding RNA is filed under the name Sus scrofa (pig). RNAcentral's name for it is "lncRNA (ENSSSCG00025010169.1)". Lineage: Eukaryota; Metazoa; Chordata; Mammalia; Artiodactyla; Suidae. The record is from RNAcentral.